RNAcentral lists this ribosomal RNA (640 nucleotides) under uncultured bacterium. RNAcentral describes it as "bacterial SSU rRNA". It matches the Rfam family "Bacterial small subunit ribosomal RNA", at positions 202 to 842 of the family's 1533-position model. The record is from RNAcentral.
UAAAGAUUCAUCGGCUGCGGAUGGCCAUGCGGCGCAUUAGCUAGUCGGCGGGGUAACGGCCCACCGAGGCGACGAUGCGUAGGGGUUCUGAGAGGAAGGUCCCCCACACUGGUACUGAGACACGGACCAGACUCCUACGGGAGGCAGCAGUGAGGAAUAUUGGUCAAUGGCCGGGAGGCUGAACCAGCCAAGUCGCGUGAGGGAAGACGGCCCUACGGGUUGUAAACCUCUUUUGUCAGGGAGCAAGAGGCGGGUCGGGACCUGCUGUGAGAGUACCUGAAGAAAAAGCAUCGGCUAACUCCGUGCCAGCAGCCGCGGUAAUACGGAGGAUGCGAGCGUUAUCCGGAUUUAUUGGGUUUAAAGGGUGCGCAGGCGGAGGCACAAGUCAGCGGUAAAAUCGCGGGGCUCAACCCCGCUCCGCCGUUGAAACUGUGUCCCUUGAGUGCGCGAAGGGUAGGCGGAAUGCGUGGUGUAGCGGUGAAAUGCAUAGAUAUCACGCAGAACUCCGAUCGCGAAGGCAGCCUACCGGCGCGCGACUGACGCUCAUGCACGAAAGCGUGGGUAUCGAACAGGAUUAGAUACCCUGGUAGUCCACGCAGUAAACGAUGAAUGCUAUCUGUCCGGCCGGAAUGACGGCUGG